RNAcentral lists this small RNA (19 nucleotides) under Arabidopsis thaliana (thale cress). Its description in RNAcentral is "Ath_wt_22146". Lineage: Eukaryota; Viridiplantae; Streptophyta; Magnoliopsida; Brassicales; Brassicaceae. The record is from RNAcentral.
GCCGACCCUCAGUAGGAGC